UAAAGAUUCAUCGCUGAUAGAUAGGCAUGCGUUCCAUUAGGCAGUUGGCGGGGUAACGGCCCACCAAACCGACGAUGGAUAGGGGUUCUGAGAGGAAGGUCCCCCACAUUGGUACUGAGACACGGACCAAACUCCUACGGGAGGCAGCAGUGAGGAAUAUUGGUCAAUGGGCGUAAGCCUGAACCAGCCAAGUCGCGUGAGGGAUGAAGGUUCUAUGGAUCGUAAACCUCUUUUAUAAGGGAAUAAAGUGUGGGACGUGUCCUAUUUUGUAUGUACCUUAUGAAUAAGGAUCGGCUAACUCCGUGCCAGCAGCCGCGGUAAUACGGAGGAUCCGAGCGUUAUCCGGAUUUAUUGGGUUUAAAGGGUGCGUAGGCGGCCUUUUAAGUCAGCGGUGAAAGUCUGUGGCUCAACCAUAGAAUUGCCGUUGAAACUGGGGGGCUUGAGUAUGUUUGAGGCAGGCGGAAUGCGUGGUGUAGCGGUGAAAUGCUUAGAUAUCACGCAGAACCCCGAUUGCGAAGGCAGCCUGCCAAGCCAUGACUGACGCUGAUGCACGAAAGCGUGGGGAUCAAACAGGAUUAGAUACCCUGGUAGUCCACGCAGUA
This 602-nucleotide ribosomal RNA is filed under the name uncultured bacterium. RNAcentral's name for it is "bacterial SSU rRNA". It matches the Rfam family "Bacterial small subunit ribosomal RNA", at positions 202 to 804 of the family's 1533-position model. The record is from RNAcentral.